AAUAUUGGACAAUGGGGGCAACCCUGAUCCAGCCAUGCCGCGUGUGUGAAGACGGUCUUCGGCUUGUCAAGCCCUUUAAGUUGGGGGGAAGUGCUUUAGGUUAUUACCCUGAAGUUUUGACGUUACCAACAGAAUAAGCACCGGCUAAUUCUGUUCCAGCAGCCGCGGUCAUACAGAGGGUGCGAGCGUUAAUCGGAAUUACUGGGGGUAAAGCGCGUGUAGGUGAUUCAGUAAGAUGGGUGUGAAAUCCCCGGGCUUAACCUGGGAACUGCUUUCAUAACUGCUGAGCUAGAGUACGGUAGAGGGUAGUGGAAUUUCCUGUGUAGCGGUGAAAUGCGUAGAUAUAGGAAGGAACACCAGUGGCGAAGGCGACUACCUGGACUGAUACUGACACUGAGGUGCGAAAGCGUGGGGAGCAAA
This 420-nucleotide ribosomal RNA is filed under the name uncultured bacterium. RNAcentral's name for it is "partial 16S ribosomal RNA". It matches the Rfam family "Bacterial small subunit ribosomal RNA", at positions 360 to 772 of the family's 1533-position model. The record is from RNAcentral.